UGCAUCACAAAAUUCUAAAUAUUGUGUCUCUCUGCUGCUACUUAGUAUUUGGAAUGUGUUUGUUCUGGGGAUGUCACCUUGUGAGGUCUGAGGGGCUCAUGCUCAGUGUUACACCUGCAGUCACUGUGUGCUUGCAGAGUGCUCCAGACUUGUACACAUGUCACAAUGAGCCACAAGCAGCAAAGCUUAGCACAAGCCAGUGGUUGCUGUUUUCUCAUGCAGAGCCCUGAGAGAGUCUGGACACAGAAUAACUAAUUGACAGAGUGCUUUGAUGAUCUUAAUACAAGUCCUUUCCCCCUAACUCCAAAGAGCAAGCUGCAAAUAGAGAUGAGGUCUUUGUAGAAGACCACCUGCUGAUGCUCUGUGAGGCAGCUUUACCCAUCCUGAAUCAGCUAGAUCUCUUGGCAGUGCUACCUUACUCCUGUCAGUCAAAAGCAUUGAAGGAAUUGCCCUGACUGAGCCAUGGCCACAGAGAAGAUGGGAGCAGAGCACCUGGGGACAUUCCUGCUGCCUCCAGACUGGAAAUGGAUUUAGUGGAAGACGUCAUUGCACGGACACAGCAGUGCUCACUGUGUUGCUGCCUUGCAGCCAGUCCACCUGAGCUGGCACUUCAUUUGUGCAGAACUGCUGGCUCAAUCCUCAAAAUGCCAAAGAGGGAUUACUGUGAACUCCUUUUUGUUUUCACAGGAGUGAAAAUAUUUUGAGUGAUAAAAGACAUCUUCCCACAGAGACAUUGUGCAGAGUCACAAGCACAUCUACUCCCACCCCCUUCAUAGAAUCUGAGGGUCACUGGAUGGGUUGAGUUGAGUUGGGUUGGGAAGGACCACAGUGGGUCAUCUGGUCCAACUUCCCAGCUCAAACAAGAUCAAACCAGUGCACAUGGCACAGGGCUGUGUCCAGAGAGCUUUUGGAUUUCCCUAGAGAAAGAGACUCCACACAUCUCUGGGCAGCCUGUUCCAGCGGCUGGUCACUCUCACAAGCAAAGUCUUGGAAGUGUUCCAUUAAGGUUCUGAGCACUAAUGAGCCAAAUGCCACUAAGCUCUUGUUAGAUUAUGCAAAAUUCAUGCCUUUGCACAAAUGGAUUGAUCUACUUUGCCUAGCUAAGUUCCAGGAAUCAUGAUAAUGUUGUCAUUUUACAAGAUGAAAACCAUGAGGAAAAUGGGUGGGAAAAGGAGAAGCAUUUUUGAGCAAAAACAGAUAUAUAGAGACAAAUUUCAGUUGGAAGUUGUUCCACUUUUUAUCCACAAGGGAAUGAAUCAGAUAAGUUGCACCUAAUUUUUUUUUUCCAACAAAGAUAGUAAUUAAAUUUUUGUAUCAGAUAACACCAUAUUACACUGAAGAAAACUUUUCUUCCAGUACCAAGCAAUGACUUCAUUAGAAUUGCAUUUUAAUGGAGAAUAUGUUAGUUCAUUAUCAAGUAUUUUAUUUCAUGGUUUGUGUAUUCUAAAAACACGCUUGCUCUAGAAAGUUUCUUUUCAGAUUCAGGCCAGCUUUUUGAAAAGCUUUGUGUGAAGAUGCUCUCUUUUAUUUCUUUAAUAUGUCCCUAUUUGUGUGAUCUAGAUAGCAGUCUCUACUGAGGAGGCCACAGUGUGCAAUGGGAUCUCUUACAGUCAAAUACCUGGAAUCCUGUACCAUUAUGCUAAAUGUAGAAAAGAAAGAUAAUGCAAAUUUUUUUUUGUUUUGCUGUUGGUUUUUAAAUUUUAUUUCUAGAAAAUAAUAAAUAGUUGCUGUAGGGGUAGUAAAACGAGGAAGAACAGAAUAUGAAUUUUAUUGGUAAUGGAAAAUGACCCAGAGGCUUUGGGAUAUUUCUUUGAGCAGAGGAUGCAAUUGCAUUAAGGCAGGACUUCAUCAGUCGACCAUGAUGUGAAGAUAGCAGGUAUGUGAGGAAAAGCAGAGCUGAAUAUCCUAAAACUUACCUUGAACUGAACUUGUACUGCUUCUAUUUCUUUACCAAGGUGUUUAUGAUAUUUAUUGACUCUGCAUAUUAAAUGAAUCUCUGUGAAUUUCAGUUAUCCUUCAUACUAUGCUACAGUUUGGCCUCAAACUCAUAGAUUGAAUUUGUUGUUUUGUCUGUAUAUUUGUCUACAGUUGUCUACAUAUUUCUUUCUUUCACAGGAACUUUGCAGGUAAAUGCAGCAACUGUAGGAUAUUUGCAAAUAAAUAAAAUAUAAUACAAUGAACUAUCUGUUAAGGAUCUUUUACAGCUAGUUGAAUGCUCUGAGCUGAAAUGUGGUCAGGAAAAGUAACUGACUUAGUUUAGGGUACUGGGGUAGGGAGAACAUAAGUAUUUAUCCUGAAUUAUACUUCUGUAUGUAUUUUAUGAUCUAUCUCUCUAUCUCUAUUUUUCUAUUUUGCAAAGUUUUGCCUGGCUCAGGAUAUUGAUCAGAGUAAUGAAGCAACUAUCCUUUAACCAGUCUUUUAAUAAAACACUGAUUGUAAUUGAGCAGGGAUGAUUUUUAUCCAAAAUUAUGUUAGAAAAUUAUAUAGCUGCCAGUAUGUUACACUUAUAUGUUCCCAAUCUCUUUCAUUGACUUAAGAGCUGUUGGACUUCCUGGCUGAUAUAUUUUUAUCAUAGUUUGGUUCCUUUUUAUUUAAGCAGCUUUUGUCCAUGUCAUUAGUCUAUUCCUUUCCACUUGCUCUGUGAAGAUUUAAAGAAAAAAACCACAAAAAAAUCAUAUGGAAAGAAACUGUCACUGGCAUGGCCUUCCUAGAUUUACUGAGAGCAGUAAGUAUUACUGUUACCAAAGGGACAAGGGCGCUCAUCUACAAAUCCUCGAGUCUCAUGGAGGAGCCUGUUGUAGAGUGAAGGAGCCCUGCUUUGGAGACACACACGUUCUGCCUCUGCUGCCCUGCCACAGGAUCAGCUCACAUGAUCUGCGUGCAACGCAUCUGUUAAUCCCUUUUGUGUGAGGGAGGGCUGUUCUGAGCCUAAAAUGAAAUCAAAUUGGUUCAAGGGAAAUGAAAACUGGAAGAAUCAGCUUCAUUGAAGAGUUUUAAAUGAGCCCUAGGGCAUUGUCAUUUCUUUUGUUUACACAGAAUGAGAGGUUGUUGUUGUUUGGAGUGCUGUGCUGUUCACCUCUGAAGGAUCUGGUCUCAUGAUCUAGAAGAUGAAAGGUCUGUGGUUUGCUUGGCCCUUAAGACUCUUGUUUCCUGCCUCUGAUUUUCUGGCAGCUGAAGGCACAGGGGAGUAAAGCUUUCUGAAGAAGGCUGUUCUCUUCAAGAGAGAAAAUUGUAAUUAUUUCUGAUGAAAGGAUUUUAAAAGCUUUCAUUAUAGGACCACUACAGAAUGGUUCUGAGUCUUAAGACAGAGGUUACUGUCUGAUAUUCAUUACAAUCUUCUGGCUCCUUCAGGUUUCUGGUGGUUUUUUUUUUUGUUGUUGUUUUGUUUUUUUUUUUUUUUUUUGGUGUGUGUGUGUGUGUGUUUGUUUGGCUUAUUUGGAAAACUUCAAACAGUGUGGUAUCUCUGAGGAGGAAAGGGAAGGAGCAUGUAUUUCUUUGUCACAGGCCAGCCCUUUAUUUUGAAAUAGUUGUGUAUAAAUACAGGAAAAGCAGUUCAGGAGCUUCUGCCUUCAGAAAAAGCUGGCUGUGGACAAAGGAGCAGUAUUCCCUGAGACAAAUAUUGCUGAGAAGAAAUUAUUAGCAGCAUGUCUAUCAAGCUGAAACUGGUGCUGGGCUUUCAUAUCAUAGAUAUGUAUGUACUAGAUAUGUAGUAGGAACUUCUAUCUAGUUAAUACAGACUGGAUAUAUCUAACAUAAUUUUGGUGUUUAAUUCCCAUUGAAAAAAUAUUCUCUUUGAGGAUAAGAUAGAGGAUGAGUCAUAUUUUACUCAGCACAUAAGUGUUUAAUUUUUAAUAAGAGAAAAUAUUUGUUUCUACAGAAAGAGUAUAAGUUACUUUUCUUUUCUUGUUGUGAAGUACCUAUAGAACAAGAAGAAACCAGUCUGUUGAGAACAUAUCACAUUCCACACAAGAAGAAUGUAAGCUUUAGGGACUUUGAAAAGAAAAAUAAACAAAACAGCAACAUGCCUUUUGGAAAAAAAAUUAAAUGUUGCCCAGUUGAAAAUGUUCAUCAUUAGCAUCAUCACAAUGACCUUUUAAAUCAGUCUGUAAUAUAUUUCUAUGAUUUGUCCAAUUUACUGUUUUUGUCAUAAGAUAAUUCCUUGGGAGUGAUCCAUGUUUGCACAGCUAUACUGACAAUACAAUUCUUUAUUUGGAUUCUUCUUGGGGCAAUACAGUAUCUUGGCCAGAACCAUUAAUAACCAAUUUAACAGUAUUUGUGUCAUAAUUUUGGUUCACUGCAGAAAUAAAAUAAUUAAAGAGCAAUUAUUAGACUGGAAAUAAAUGUAACAUCUUCUUCAUUUUAAGAUUUAUUCUAAUUAAAGUAAUAGAAAUAUUAAACACGUGAGGGUAAAUCUCCAUUUUGGAUACUACUAUCUUUAUUCCUUAAAAGUGAGUGAAGAUUUUUUGGAUUUAUGUCACUGAAAGCUGAGCCUGGCUUUGAUUGAGUCUUCUUGUUUGUCAAGAUUUAUAACUUCCUGGUGGAGAGAUUAAAGAAGAUGGAUAUUUUUUUCUGAUGUCCUCCAGAAGAGGGCUUUUACUCUGAUUACAGUGUUUCUCCCAAAAUUCAUAAUGCUUUGUGAGUUGAAAUGGUGCUUCAAGUCCUGGUAAUUCACAAUUGUGUGUUUGGGAGCUGGGACCCUCAGGAUUCCCAGAUCUGUCUUCUGUGGCAGUGAAUUAUGUUGUCCAAGUAGAAUAUUUAACACUCAUACAUUAAAGCUAAGAGGUCUAGGAAAUGUAAAAAAAAAAGUAUAUCAUAAAUGGCAAAGAGAAAUAAAGUCUGCAUAGUCAAUAAUUAAAAAUAUAAAUUAGUGCUUCACAGUGUUAAAAAAUAAGCUAAGCUUUUCAAUUUCUUCAUUUAAAAGAACAAAAAAGGAGCUUUUUCCCCUGCAGACUCAGACAUUUGACUGCAAGAAUCUUGUACACUUGCUACGUUUAGCUUUUUACUGGAGAGAAUAUAGACUUCUUCUUGAAAGAGUUUCAACAAGUAAUUUCCUUAGUUGUUCUCUGAAGUAUUCUUUACAUCCACGAAGAUGAUUAUGAACCACAAGACUAACAUUUUAAUUUUUGUCCAUUACUGCACUCCUGACACAAAAUGCCAUAGCAACAAGGAGAAUGGCAGUAAGGUCAUGUGCUCAUACCGUGCUCGCUUGUGCUGUACUGUUCCAAUAUUCAGUGCUAGAUCUUACUAUUAUUUACCUCUGGCAGGUGUAGUUCCCUGAGUCCCUGAAACUGAAAACACUCUGCUUUUGGCAAGUGGCAAACUCUAGUCACUUCACACCUAAGAUGUGGUGUUAAUAAAGGACUAGCAAUUCUUUAUAAAACUUUAUGCAAAUUAUUCAAAUUUGAUUUAUUUAAAAUUAUGAAGGAAGGUAGUGAAGUUUUAAUGAGCAGCUAUGCUGUGCAUUGUCUGUGCACAAAGCAGAUGUAAUGAUGCAUUAUAAAUGCUUAGAAAAUUUAAUCAGUGUAGAAAAAAUAUAAUGAAAUGGUUGUUUAAACACUGGAAAGCUAAUGUUAUAGUAAUUAGUUCCCAUUGAGCAAGACAUGGUGCAUAUUAUCUUGGCUGUGUUUGAUUAGUGAUCCUGCUUGUGACAUCUUGUCUUUUCUUAAUACUAUUUCAAUAUCAUUUUAAAAAAUUUUAAUCCUAAUCCCAGUUAAAAAUACAAAAACAAGAAUGGCAUCAAAUUCAGUUGUUCUUCUUCUUUUCUGACACAAUCUGCAUGAAAGUCUGCUCUUGAUUUACUCUGGCUAUAUAUAGGAAGGCUGCUUGAAGACUUUCUGCAAGAACACUUGUGCUUGCAGAAAAAAAUUGUUCUGUGGAGGUUGUGGGGGAUUUUUUCCCCCUGAAAAUAAUACCAACAGUUAAUUGUAAUGAUACUCAUAUUUUUAAAAAUGUCCUUGUAGAAGGUGGAUUGGUGUAUACUGAAGUUUAGCUAUGUGUUUUUCCUAAGAUUUCCUUUAGAUGAGUAAGACAUGGAUUUCACCAUUGGUUUGUCUCAGUUCUUUGGGGCCUGUAAAGGCACUUUUUCACUGAUAGCUGUAUGUCAGUCCCUAAAAUGAAACAUAUAGAAAAUUCUUAGCAUUAGUUCUUUUACAAACAUAAAGCUUGGAUAUAAAUGAACAAGGGAUUCUUAUUAAUCUUGUCUACUGAUAAUUAUUUUUAGGAGCUGAUUAGGGCUUUUGCAUUAGGAACUAUCUUUAAUCACAGAGAUUCUGAAUUGUGGCUGAUGUCUUUUAAUCACAUUGGACCUUAAAUGGUAGAUGGAACUGAAUUAUUUUUGAAACCUUCAGUCAAUGAGACUUACUCAAGAUUUUAAGGUGUGUUCAGCUCCUAAUGAACCCAGUAAUGAAGGACUUAUGAGAGUUGAAUUAAAAGCCAUUAUUUGAACGUUUAGACUCCACUAUCCCUGAAGAGCAGAACAGGAGGAGACUGUUUUGCAAAUGCUGAGAAGAAAGAGUAGACUCUUAAAAAAAAAAAAAUCUCCCAGUAAAUAUAAUGGAAAAUAUAAAAAUAAAGUGGACUACAUACCACUGCAUUGCAAAUUCUGCAUGCUCAGGUCUUCACAAACACCAGAAGAGUAAAUAUUUAUUUCUCACUUUCAAGAAGCAUGCAAACCAUGCAUGUAUCUGCCUCUUAUUGAACAAUAGUAGUUAAUUGUUAUAAAACAUGAACCUUGACUGUAAUUUUAACUAGUAAUUUGUGUACAAGACCUAAACUGAUACUGUCAAGGUAAAGUCUGUUAAUGGCUUUAGAGUCCAUAAAAACUUAACAUGAUGAAAAUUGCUAAAAAGAGAAAAGAUCUUCAGUGAAAUAUUCAAAUUUUUCCUUGUGUGAGUACUUGAAGGCUUUUUCAACUUUGUAACAGUUGUACUUUGGAUUUUGGAGUCAGACCAUUCCUAAUUAAUCUUUUUUAAAUGAUUUAAAUGUUUUUGAUUGAUCACUCAGUUUUGUGGACCUGACAUUAUAUAUGUUUUGAAUCCUAAGAUACAUAAUAGUAUAUGUUGGUACACUGCAUAUAUAUUGCUCAGGGAAAUUACCCAUUCUUUUUGAAUAUUUUGGAUAAUUUUGCAAAACUUUGAUUCUAUUCAAAGAAAAGAAGAACCCACUAUUUCAGAAAGGAGUAGCCCACUGAUCUCAUGUCUAGGUACUAGUUGGUAAAAUUAUUACUGUUGGCAUAACCCUAGAAAUAAAAAAAUGAUUUGGGGAUUUGGGGCUAAUUUGAGAAAUGAACAGGUGAAGCUGAAAUAACUUAGGAGAAAGGAGAAAAGGAACAAGAGCCAGCUGCUCCAAGAAUCAUUGGCUUGUAUCAGUGCAGCAUAUGGAAGGGCAAAUCAUAAGUGCAUGAUUUCAUCAUCUCUCUGGUGAAGGCUUUGCCUUCAGAACAACAGUACACAAUUUUUGUUGUGAGUUUUUUUGGUUAAUAAGGAGGAUUGGGUUAUAGCUCCUCCAGGAGGAUCCUGCAGAGUCAGAAAACAAGCCAAGACAUGGCUUUCCUCCAGAAAUGCUUUUUAUGUCAUGGAGAGUCUUAAAUCAAUAGCCUCGAGCUAAAUUGAGCCGACAGUGAAUCAAACUAAUACUCAUUUAAAGAG
This is a non-coding RNA of Taeniopygia guttata (zebra finch), 7646 nucleotides long. Lineage: Eukaryota; Metazoa; Chordata; Aves; Passeriformes; Estrildidae. The record is from RefSeq and is a predicted model, not a curated record.